Molecule: ribosomal RNA, 301 nt
Filed under: uncultured bacterium
Lineage: Bacteria
Description: partial 16S ribosomal RNA
Rfam family: Bacterial small subunit ribosomal RNA
Source: RNAcentral
CAGCCUCCGCGGGAACACAGAGGGUGCGAGCGUUAAUCGGAUUUACUGGGCGUAAAGCGUGCGUAGGCGGCUUCUUAAGUCGGAUGUGAAAUCCCUGAGCUUAACUUAGGAAUUGCAUUCGAUACUGGGAAGCUAGAGUAUGGGAGAGGAUGGUAGAAUUCCAGGUGUAGCGGUGAAAUGCGUAGAGAUCUGGAGGAAUACCGAUGGCGAAGGCAGCCAUCUGGCCUAAUACUGACGCUGAGGUACGAAAGCAUGGGGAGCAAACAGGAUUAGAUACCCCUGUAGUCCCUGUCUCUUAUAC